Molecule: transfer RNA, 58 nt
Filed under: Salmo salar (Atlantic salmon)
Lineage: Eukaryota; Metazoa; Chordata; Actinopteri; Salmoniformes; Salmonidae
Rfam family: tRNA
About the family: Transfer RNA (tRNA) molecules are approximately 80 nucleotides in length.
Source: Rfam by way of RNAcentral
UGGCUCAGUUGGUUGAGCAUGGUGCUUGGAACGCCAGGGUUGUUGGUUCGACUCCCAC